AAACCAACUGUAUUGCUCACCCAGGGAGGAGAAAAUAGGAUUUGAAUACUAUUCCAUCCCAAUGAAGCUGUGUAGCAAUGAAACACAGAUCCACAAACACUCAUUCUGUUGUUAGGAAUGAGCUGGAACUGAGAGUCGGCAUGUGGAAGAAGAGAAAGGAUUUAAAGAAUUGAAAACAAAAUUUAAAAAUGCAAAUAAAGAAGAAAACAAGCAAGCAAACGCUGGAAGCCUCAGCACUGUCUACUGUACACUGAUGACUAUUUGAGAACAUGUAGCUACUGAACUCUGGUGACCAUUAAUUUUGUCAAGAAAAAGAGAGCAACCAGUGACACCUUUCCUGAAAAAGCCCAUAGAAUCAUCAGAGAAUUUUCCAAGGAGAAGAGCUGGGGCAGAGUACUACUACAACAUCUCUGACAUGUGAAGCUGCUGGGAGCUAAUUUUCCCCACUAAACGACCUUACAUGGUUCAGUAACAAUCUACUGCAGGAAUCACUGACAUGGAUGAUUGUUCUUUGACUUUUAACCUCCAGACUCUUCACCAUCUCAAAGGAAAACAGCUCUCAGGCCACAGGACUACGUCUAUAAAUCUUCAAAAUCUUGUACCUAGGGCUGUCUCAUCUGUUGUAAACCUGGAGCUUUGCACAGUUUUAGGUGUUGGAGAUCUCUACCUUUUGGAUGCAGAGUAGCCUAGAGAGUAUGUGAACAUGG
Long non-coding RNA from Catharus ustulatus (Swainson's thrush), 707 nucleotides. RefSeq lists it as uncharacterized. The record is from RefSeq and is a predicted model, not a curated record. Lineage: Eukaryota; Metazoa; Chordata; Aves; Passeriformes; Turdidae. The transcript is spliced from 4 exons.